This 570-nucleotide ribosomal RNA is filed under the name uncultured bacterium. Its description in RNAcentral is "bacterial SSU rRNA". It matches the Rfam family "Bacterial small subunit ribosomal RNA", at positions 145 to 708 of the family's 1533-position model. The record is from RNAcentral.
AACUAGUCGAAAGAUUAGCUAAUACCGCAUACGAUCUACGGAUGAAAGUGGGGGAUUCGCAAGAACCUCAUGCUCGUGGAGCGGCCGAUAUCUGAUUAGCUAGUUGGUAGGGUAAAAGCCUACCAAGGCGACGAUUAGUAGCUGGUUUGAGAGAACGACCAGCCACACUGGGACUGAGACACGGCCCAGACUCCUACGGGAGGCAGCAGUGGGGAAUUUUGGACAAUGGGGGCAACCCUGAUCCAGCAAUGCCGCGUGUGUGAAGAAGGCCUUCGGGUUGUAAAGCACUUUUGUCAGGGAAGAAACGGUGAGGGCUAAUAUCCUUUGCUAAUGACGGUACCUGAAGAAUAAGCACCGGCUAACUACGUGCCAGCAGCCGCGGUAAUACGUAGGGUGCAAGCGUUAAUCGGAAUUACUGGGCGUAAAGCGUGCGCAGGCGGUUGUGUAAGUCAGAUGUGAAAUCCCCGGGCUCAACCUGUGAAUUGCAUUUGAGACUGCACGGCUAGAGUGUGUCAGAGGGGGGUAGAAUUCCACGUGUAGCAGUGAAAUGCGUAGAGAUGUGGAGGAAUA